Molecule: transfer RNA, 69 nt
Filed under: Mycobacteroides abscessus subsp. abscessus
Lineage: Bacteria; Bacillati; Actinomycetota; Actinomycetes; Mycobacteriales; Mycobacteriaceae
Description: tRNA-Ala
Rfam family: tRNA (bases 4-61)
About the family: Transfer RNA (tRNA) molecules are approximately 80 nucleotides in length.
Source: RNAcentral
CCUUAGCUCAGUUGGUAGAGCGCUACCUUUGCAAGGUAGAUGUCAGGAGUUCGCACCUUAUCUGCAGGA